ACUCCUACGGGAGGCAGCAGUGGGGAAUAUUGCACAAUGGGCGCAAGCCUGAUGCAGCCAUGCCGCGUGUAUGAAGAAGGCCUUCGGGUUGUAAAGUACUUUCAGCAGUGAGGAAGGCGGGUACGUUAAUAGCGUGCUUGUUUGACGUUAGCUGCAGAAGAAGCACCGGCUAACUCCGUGCCAGCAGCCGCGGUAAUACGGAGGGUGCGAGCGUUAAUCGGAAUUACUGGGCGUAAAGCGCAUGCAGGCGGCCUGUUAAGUCAGAUGUGAAAGCCCGGGGCUUAACCUCGGAAUUGCAUUUGAAACUGGCAGGCUAGAGUCUUGUAGAGGGGGGUAGAAUUUCAGGUGUAGCGGUGAAAUGCGUAGAGAUCUGAAGGAAUACCAGUGGCGAAGGCGGCCCCCUGGGACAAAGACUGACGCUCAGAUGCGAAAGCGUGGGGAGCAAACAGGAUUAGAUACCCUGGUAGGAUAGCG
Molecule: ribosomal RNA, 474 nt
Filed under: uncultured bacterium
Lineage: Bacteria
Description: bacterial SSU rRNA
Rfam family: Bacterial small subunit ribosomal RNA
Source: RNAcentral